GGGGGCGUCCUGGUUUCGACAGGAUAAUGUUUAGUUAGUAAUUCAGUCCGUUGGUAGGGUAACUACUACAAACAAUAAGUGGAAACACUAAUUACGCUUACGCUGCCUAAAGGCAAAUAGAUGCUGGCAGUCAACUUUUAUAGGUUCACAUAUAGCUAAUAUUAGUUGCAAAUCAUAUAUGUACACUUACUUAAUUGAUCGUUUAAGUAUUUUAUUUUUGAUCUUAGAAUAAUAUUAUUUUGUUGGUUUAAUGAUAUUAUUUGAAACAACUAAACUAAAUAAACUGUAAAUUUACUUUCAAGGGACUUAUUUUGGACAGGAGUUCGAUUCUCCUCGCCUCCACCA
RNAcentral lists this transfer-messenger RNA (345 nucleotides) under Bacilli bacterium. It matches the Rfam family "transfer-messenger RNA". From Rfam's summary of the family: Bacterial tmRNA, also known as 10Sa RNA or SsrA, is named for its dual tRNA and mRNA-like properties. Its role is to liberate the mRNA from a stalled ribosome. To accomplish this part of the tmRNA is used as a reading frame that ends in a translation stop signal. Lineage: Bacteria; Bacillati; Bacillota; Bacilli. The record is from RNAcentral.